RNAcentral lists this ribosomal RNA (600 nucleotides) under Clostridioides difficile. RNAcentral describes it as "bacterial SSU rRNA". It matches the Rfam family "Bacterial small subunit ribosomal RNA", at positions 941 to 1533 of the family's 1533-position model. The record is from RNAcentral. Lineage: Bacteria; Bacillati; Bacillota; Clostridia; Peptostreptococcales; Peptostreptococcaceae.
GUGGUUUAAUUCGAAGCAACGCGAAGAACCUUCCCUAAACUUGACAUCCCAAUGACAUCUCCUUAAUCGGAGAGUUCCCUUCAGGGACCAGCGUGACAGAUGGUCCAUGGUUUUCGUCAGCACCUGGCGUGAGAUGUUGGGUUAAGUCCCGCAACGACCGCAACCCUUUUCUCUAGUUUCCUUCAUAAAGUUGCGCCCUCUGGAGCGACUGCCACGGAUAACCUGGAGGAAGGUGGGGAUGACGUCAAAUCAUCAUGCCCCUUAUGCUUAGGGCUACACACGUGCUACAAUGGGUAGUACAGAGGGUUGCCAAGCCGUAAGGUGGAGCUAAUCCCUUAAAGCUACUCUCAGUUCGGAUUGUAGGCUGAAACUCGCCUACAUGAAGCUGGAGUUACUAGUAAUCGCAGAUCAGAAUGCUGCGGUGAAUGCGUUCCCGGGUCUUGUACACACCGCCCGUCACACCACGGGAGUUGGAGACGCCCGAAGCCGAUUAUCUAACCUUUUGGAAGAAGUCGUCGAAGGUGGAAUCAAUAACUGGGGUGAAGUCGUAACAAGGUAGCCGUAUCGGAAGGUGCGGCUGGAUCACCUCCUUUCUAAGGA